GCCCGGCUGGCGCAAUGGUUAGCGCAUGCCACUUCUAAUGGCAAGGUUGUGGGUUCGAGUCCCACGUCGGGUU
Molecule: transfer RNA, 73 nt
Filed under: Nemania sp. FL0916
Lineage: Eukaryota; Fungi; Ascomycota; Sordariomycetes; Xylariales; Xylariaceae
Description: tRNA-Arg
Rfam family: tRNA
About the family: Transfer RNA (tRNA) molecules are approximately 80 nucleotides in length. Their secondary structure includes four short double-helical elements and three loops (D, anti-codon, and T loops).
Source: RNAcentral